Long non-coding RNA from Mizuhopecten yessoensis (Yesso scallop), 1455 nucleotides. RefSeq lists it as uncharacterized. The record is from RefSeq and is a predicted model, not a curated record. The transcript is spliced from 2 exons. Lineage: Eukaryota; Metazoa; Mollusca; Bivalvia; Pectinida; Pectinidae.
UUCACUAACUGGUUAAUGGCGACAAUCGACUUAAGUCUGUGUACAAUAUACACAUGUAGGUCUAUACAGUCCCGGUUAGAAUUCUAUUACGCUCAUUGUUGCGAGAACGCACACGAGAACUGGCAUCUGAUCACCUGCAGCUCAACCUCGUGUACGGGAUUAUAGUCUGAUAUUCUGGAGUGCGGAGGAAUACCGGAAGACUUGGAGUGAUCAAUAGUGUGGCACUAUAUUUCGCUGCGGAUUUAUAUCCGGUCUAGUAUCAAGAUUGAAUAAUGUGCGAUUCAGAACACAAGCAAUACAGAUGGGUGGUGGGGUUUUUCUAUACCGAAAACGGAUUUCGGCAAAGGAUGGAUAUUGAAAAUAAAUGCUUAUUUUCAACAAAAAAAGAGGCGGAGAGAGACGCACGAUUAAAUGUGGACGCCACCGUGAAAGACUUCCCUAACGGCAAAGUAGAUUCCGUACAUCUGGAGGAUGAAAAUGGAAAGAAAGUGCAAGAUCUUCAGAAAAAUAUGUCUUGGGAUUAAUUUAAAGAAGAAUGUUUCAGAAAGUGUUAUCCUAAACCAGGAUGAGACAAGAAUGGCUCAUAAUAUGGAGGAACAAAGCUUGAUUUUUUUUCAAAGUUUUCUUUUUAUAAAUAUAUAUUUUAUAUUGAUAUUGUAUUUCUACAUUCUUACGAUCUGAUGAUGUCUAGAUAUGUUACAUAGGAUCGACAGACUAUCUAUCAAUGACAUUGUAUUUGUGAUUCAGUGUUGUCGUGUUUGGAUACCCGUGCUUCAGUGAUGUUUUUUGCGUGACGUACUUCCCCGGAUUAACUACUAGAAGACUAGAGCACUUCUUCUUCACGUGCUGUACAAAUCUUAAAGCCAUUUGAUAUUUGCUUUAAUGAAGGGAUUAUAGAAACUUAUUCUCGGAGAUUCCUGUUUUAAUGCGGUGAACGAUUUCAUACUUGUUAACUAUUUGAUAUAUUACAAGUUUACAACUGCGUGGCCUAGAUUUUCAAGUUUAAUAUUUACAAACAACUGGUCUCUGUCAUCAAUAUUUAGAUGUACCUUUAUAACAUGAACACACAUGUUCAAGACACGUGCAUGCACACAUGUACACAUGUUCGUACGUCUACUUGCCGUGUAUACGUGUCUGUGACGUGUACAUUUGUCUAUGACUUAUACACGUAUGUCUAUGACGUAUACACGUGUAUCUAUGACAUGCACCUGUCUAUAUGACGUGUACACACGACUGCAUGAUAUGUGUAUACGUGUAUGCAUUAUGUAUACAUGUACACAUGCCUUUUUGACAUGAACACAUAUCUCUAUUACGCGUACACACGUCUCCAUGAUACGUAUGACAUCUACCGACUUUAUCACCUGUUCAGUAUGUCAGUCAAGACUAAUGUACAUCAUAAUACAGUACUUGAGCACACAUUUAUUUAGCAUCAUUCAAUAAAAGAAUGAAAUUUUU